Molecule: ribosomal RNA, 254 nt
Filed under: uncultured bacterium
Lineage: Bacteria
Description: partial 16S ribosomal RNA
Rfam family: Bacterial small subunit ribosomal RNA
Source: RNAcentral
UACGGGGGGGGCAAGCGUUGUUCGGAUUUACUGGGCGUAAAGGGCGCGUAGGCGGCCACCGCAAGUCGGUUGUGAAAUCUCUGGGCUUAACCCAGAAAGGUCAACCGAUACUGCGGGGCUAGAGUGCAGAAGGGGCAACUGGAAUUCUCGGUGUAGCGGUGAAAUGCGUAGAGAUCCGGAAGAACACCGACGGCGAAGGCAGCGCCCUGGACGCCAUCUGACGCUCGGGCACGAAAGCGCGGGGAGCGAACAGG